GUAACGGUGGUUCAGUGGUAGAAUUCUUGCCUUCCAUGCAAGAGGCUCAGGUUCAAUUCCAGCCAACACA
RNAcentral lists this transfer RNA (70 nucleotides) under Loxodonta africana (African savanna elephant). It matches the Rfam family "tRNA". From Rfam's summary of the family: Transfer RNA (tRNA) molecules are approximately 80 nucleotides in length. The record is from Rfam by way of RNAcentral. Lineage: Eukaryota; Metazoa; Chordata; Mammalia; Proboscidea; Elephantidae.